UGUGACUGGAGCUCGCUCGGCGACGGCGACUGUGACACACAAUGCAACAACACCGCGUGUUUCUUCGACCGCGGCGACUGUG
This 82-nucleotide small RNA is filed under the name uncultured Phaeocystis. RNAcentral's name for it is "partial Cyanobacteria transfer-messenger RNA". The record is from RNAcentral. Lineage: Eukaryota; Haptophyta; Phaeocystales; Phaeocystaceae.